RNAcentral lists this ribosomal RNA (468 nucleotides) under uncultured bacterium. RNAcentral describes it as "partial 16S ribosomal RNA". It matches the Rfam family "Bacterial small subunit ribosomal RNA", at positions 28 to 507 of the family's 1533-position model. The record is from RNAcentral.
GACGAACGCUGGCGGCGUGCUUAACACAUGCAAGUCGAACGGAAAGGCCCUGCUUUUGUGGGGUGCUCGAGUGGCGAACGGGUGAGUAACACGUGAGUAACCUGCCCUUGACUUUGGGAUAACUUCAGGAAACUGGGGCUAAUACCGGAUAGGAGCUCCUGCUGCAUGGUGGGGGUUGGAAAGUUUCGGCGGUUGUGGAUGGACUCGCGGCUUAUCAGCUUGUUGGUGGGGUAGUGGCUUACCAAGGCUUUGACGGGUAGCCGGCCUGAGAGGGUGAACGGGCACCAGGGGACUGCGAGACGGCCCAGACUCCUACGGGAGGCAGCAGUGGGGAAUAUUGCACAAUGGGCGGAAGCCUGAUGCAGCAACGCCGCGUGCGGGAUGACGGCUUUCGGGUUGUAAACCGCUUUCGCCUGUGACGAAGCGUGAGUGACGGUAAUGGGUAAAGAAGCACCGGCUAACUACGUG